Molecule: ribosomal RNA, 865 nt
Filed under: uncultured bacterium
Lineage: Bacteria
Description: bacterial SSU rRNA
Rfam family: Bacterial small subunit ribosomal RNA
Source: RNAcentral
AGAGUUUGAUCCUGGCUCAGGAUGAACGCUGGCGGCGUGCCUAACACAUGCAAGUUGAACGGGGUAGCAAUACCUAGUGGCGGACGGGUGAGUAACGCGUGAGAAUUUGCCUUCAGGAUGGGGACAACAGCGGGAAACUGCUGCUAAUACCCGAUAGGCUGAAAAGUGAAAGAUUUAUCGCCUGAAGAGAAGCUCGCGUCUGAUUAGCUAGUUGGUAGUGUAAGAGACUACCAAGGCGACGAUCAGUAGCUGGUCUGAGAGGAUGAGCAGCCACACUGGGACUGAGACACGGCCCAGACUCCUACGGGAGGCAGCAGUGGGGAAUUUUCCGCAAUGGGCGAAAGCCUGACGGAGCAACGCCGCGUGAGGGAGGAAGGCCUUUGGGUUGUAAACCUCUUUUCUAGGGGAAUAAGCAAGUGACGGUACCCUAGGAAUCAGCAUCGGCUAACUCCGUGCCAGCAGCCGCGGUAAUACGGAGGAUGCAAGCGUUAUCCGGAAUUAUUGGGCGUAAAUCGUCCGCAGGUGGCUAUACAAGUCUGCUGUCAAAGACCGUAGCUUAACUACGGAAAGGCGGUGGAAACUGUAAGGCUAGAGGCCGGUAGGGGUAGCGGGAAUUUCCAGUGUAGCGGUGAAAUGCGUAGAGAUUGGAAAGAACAUCGGUGGCGAAAGCGCGCUACUUGGCUGUGCCUGACACUGAGGGACGAAAGCUAGGGGAGCGAAAGGGAUUAGAUACCCCUGUAGUCCUAGCCGUAAACGAUGGAGACUAGGCGUAGCUUGUAUCGACCCAAGCUGUGCCGAAGCUAACGCGUUAAGUCUCCCGCCUGGGGAGUACGCACGCAAGUGUGAAACUCAAAGGAAUUGACGG